Molecule: transfer RNA, 65 nt
Filed under: Placida sp. 1 NY-2013
Lineage: Eukaryota; Metazoa; Mollusca; Gastropoda; Limapontiidae
Description: tRNA-His
Source: RNAcentral
CCAAGGGCUAGGUUAAUAGAAACCGAGGACUUGUGGCGUCCUAGAUUUAAUUUUUAAGCCUUGGU